This 930-nucleotide long non-coding RNA is filed under the name Citrus x clementina. RNAcentral's name for it is "Citrus clementina (C. clementina) long non-coding RNA (CCLE_LNC004668)". Lineage: Eukaryota; Viridiplantae; Streptophyta; Magnoliopsida; Sapindales; Rutaceae. The record is from RNAcentral.
AUUUAGAACCCAAUUAAUAUAUAAAUUACUAAAUAACCAAUUUAAAUCUAACUAUAUAUGAUAUAAUUAUGGUUUUUUUUUGUUGUACGAGCAUAAUAUCUUAUGAAUUUCAUUAAUUGAUAUUGCUUUCUUCACAACUUUCAGAUGUGAGACUACUAUUGUAUUUUAUGUCCUAUAUCAAGAGAAAUAAGAGACAUAGAGAUCAACUGAAUAUAUUACAUCUAAAAAGUUUUUCCUCGUGAGUUACUAUAUAAUCGUGAACCAAUCAUGCAAUCUAGUCAAAAGAUUAUCAAGUGAUUAAUUCACUCAAUCAAGAUCAAAUAAAAUCAUAUCACACAACUUAAUAGGAUCACUACAUUCUCAAAUUAUAAUACCUUUAUACAUCAUAAAAACUCUUAUUAUGAACUUGAUAUUAUCUUUAUAAAUUAAUGAAUUAUUAAUUAUUAGUUUAUCAUUCUAUUAAUAUUCACUAAAUUAAUAAAUUUUUUAUGGUCUCAAUGCUAUUAGUUUAUCGUGAUUCUACUUGUAUGAGGGUAGCAUAGGGUCGGGUUAGUUGGAUCUAUUAUGAAUUCAACUAAACCGAUAUAUUUUUGUCCAUUGUUGGUUCGCUUGGUUUUUCAAUAUUAAACCAUUAAUUCCUUUGUAGUUUGUAUUUUUUUUUUUUUUGUACAAACUGAUUGGUUAAUUUCUAAAAAUUGGACCUAAUUAUUAGAUUAAUUGGAUUUUUUUAUGGUGUUGAUUUUUAACCCACCCCUACCUAGUACUAGGAAUGACAAAAUUCUCCACGGAUUUGGAACCUCACAAAAAAUGGGGGUGGAUUUUGAAUAAUUUUUAGAAAAUAAGAUGAGGAAUGGAAGAAAAAUAAUUAUCAAAUUCUCAAUGGAGUAGAGUUUGGUUUUGCAUUCUCCACAUCACUCCUAACGUAACCCC